This 266-nucleotide unclassified non-coding RNA is filed under the name Hevea brasiliensis (rubber tree). The record is from RNAcentral. Lineage: Eukaryota; Viridiplantae; Streptophyta; Magnoliopsida; Malpighiales; Euphorbiaceae.
UCCCUAACUUUUCCAUGGCUUGGUCGAUGCAAGAGAGGCUCAUCUUUAAGUUGAGAUGAAUAUAGACCUGUGGAUGGCUUGUACCUAGAGGCAGUAAGGUCGGUAGCUGGUGAAAUAAUAGGACCACGCAAGCUAUAUAGCUCAGGUUCCUUCGGUGCAAAACCAUAAGGUUUCAGCGGAAGGCACGAUGAAUCCCAAAUUGAUCCCCCCAAAUUAUCAACUCGAUGCUUAUCAACUAGUGACGCAAAGUACGCUCCUUUGUCACG